Molecule: non-coding RNA, 30 nt
Filed under: Mus musculus (house mouse)
Lineage: Eukaryota; Metazoa; Chordata; Mammalia; Rodentia; Muridae
Source: RNAcentral
UAUAAGUUUUGGCAGGAAAAACGUGCAGUU